Molecule: microRNA, 16 nt
Filed under: Macrophomina phaseolina MS6
Lineage: Eukaryota; Fungi; Ascomycota; Dothideomycetes; Botryosphaeriales; Botryosphaeriaceae
Description: miR-4291
Source: RNAcentral
UUCAGCAGGAAUUGCU